AUGGCCGGAACUGGAAGAGAGGGUUCUCGAGGAGGAGGGAGAUAUGCAGCAGGGAGGGGAAGAAAUGAGACAGGGCGUGGUGGGACUGCUAACCCCAAAUCAUCAGGAGGAGGGGAGACGCAGCACCAGACUACUCAACCUCCUGCGACCCAGAUGCCUCCCAUCUCUAUAUACUCCAGGCCACCGAUUGUUCCUCUGCGUCAACCGAAUUAUAUGUUCUCACAGGGCCAGAUGUAUGCAGGAUUUCCCCCAGGAGGAUAUGCUCAAUUCCAGGGUGUAAGUCAGUGGCCUAUGCCACAACAACAAUUCCCUUAUCAGUUUCCUUUGCAGCCAGGCAUGAUGCCAUACCAACAGAAACUACCUUUCAACUCUGGGAGCUCGUCUGGUGGCAAUGGCCCAGCUUUACCCUCUGGAUCCAGCAAAAACAAGAAGAAAAAUCCCAAAGGGGGGCUGUGGACAACAAUGCUGAUCAGACACAGAGCAAACAGUGAUGUGGAGGGGAGUGCACCUUACGAUGUUGAUCCGAAGUUCAUUGGAGCCAUAUGCUAUAACUGUGGACUGCCUGGACACUUUGUUGGGAUGUGCUUUCUGCCCAGGAAUUGUUUCAUCUAUAAAACUCCUGGCCAUCAUAUGGAUGUAUGCCCCACCUGGUAUAAGCCAUACCUUGUUGCACACUAUUGGGGGAGUGCUAACACAGGCCUGGGGUUCUUCCAUGUUGAAGCUGGAGAUGUUAGUGAUAGCAAUUGGCUUAACUUUGGAAAUGUAGGCUUAGUGGUUGUGAAGGAAGGGAAUAUCACAGGAGAUGAGCUUGGGCAAUGUUUCACUCAGAUGUGGAAAACCAACUGGCCAUGGCAGAUAAGACCAUAUGAUAAAAACAAAUUCCUGAUGAGGUUCCCCCCAAAUAAAAGAAUUGCUGAGCUUGCUGAGUACCCAUCCAUGAAUCUGAAAAGGAAGAAAGCAACUAUAUCUUUCAUGAAAUGGGGAGGACAAAUGCCAGAAUAUGACUCCUUGACAGAAACUUGGAUAGAAGGAUUGCCCCCAAAGUGGAUAAGCUGGAGUGUUAUAGCUCAAGUGGCAUCCAUUUUAGGGGUUCUGGUUAAUAUUGAUUGGCACAUGAUAUUCAGAAGCUUUUAUGAGAAAGUGAGAAUUCAAGUUGCAGUCAGAGACCCCAGCAAAAUACCUACUGAUAGAGUGGUGGAAAUUCAGCAUGAGCUGUAUCUGUUGAGGUUUGCAGUGGAAAAAGAUGCUGAAGAAAGCUCCAACUCUGACAACCCAUCUGACCCUGCUAGCAAUAAGAUUGAGGGCACCAAUGUCAACAGUGAUGAUGAUCUACUGGGAGAAGAAAUGGAAACUGAGAUGGAAAAGUCUGGGAAAAAUAUUAAUACCCCAAGGCCAUCUGCUGCUCCUAAAGGGUCCAAAUCAAAUAGCUACAAAACUCCUGGGGCUACUUUUGAGAUUAUUACAGGCUCAAAAAAUCAGAGAGCUCCACUGACCAAAAGCUAUUUGGAAGUGGUCCAAAAGAAAACUAGAGAUGAUUUUGGAGAAAAGUUUCUACCUAGCUUUGAAGCUGCUGUAAAUCAAAGUCAUGACAAAGUUGUUGGUCUAAAAAACAACAAAACUGCUGUGAAGUGGGGGCCUAUAGAAGCCACCAGAAUGAGUGACAGGAUCAAAAGAGAUGGGAAACCUGCUCUGACCAAGGCCCAAGAAUUGAAGCAGAAGAGAGACUUGGAGAUUCCUAAAGGUGAGCUGAAUGAUAUCUGGACCAGGGAGGAGAUCAAAGCCAGGCAGAGGUCCAGAGAGAGGGACAUCCUGGAGGGAGAACAUAAUACUGGAUACUUCAAGGCCAUUGCUAACCAGAAAAGGAGAAAGAAACAAGUACUGAUGCUGGAAGGAGAAAAUGGUCCUUUAAAUGAUCUUAAAGGUGAUCGUGAGGAAGACUACAAAAAACCUAUCCUUAUGGGAGGUGGUCUGGCUAGAUGUUGCCAAGCCAGAGCUAAAAGAGAUCGUGCGGAAGCUGGAGCAGAUGGCAAGAAAUCCCCCACCCCUCCUGUGGCCAGAUCCAGGUUGAUUGGGGGAAGAUAUGGGGGAGAACUCUCUGGAAGCGAUCUGGUCAUGCUUUGA
RNAcentral lists this ribosomal RNA (2121 nucleotides) under Triticum aestivum (bread wheat). RNAcentral's name for it is "partial small subunit ribosomal RNA". Lineage: Eukaryota; Viridiplantae; Streptophyta; Magnoliopsida; Poales; Poaceae. The record is from RNAcentral.